This 1292-nucleotide unclassified non-coding RNA is filed under the name Hevea brasiliensis (rubber tree). Lineage: Eukaryota; Viridiplantae; Streptophyta; Magnoliopsida; Malpighiales; Euphorbiaceae. The record is from RNAcentral.
AAGAACACCAAGGGUAAUUUGGGAACACGAAAUUUUCAAUGACAUUUUUGUGAUUUGCGAGGCCAAAAGGGGCAGCAAAAUAACUGGUGGCAUUUUUGUAAAUAAGCAGCAAUGGCAAACUUGUAAUUUUACUUAAAAUGAAGGGUAAACUAGUUCAGUGGCAAAACUGUAAUUCUGCCCAAAACAGGUGAGCAGACAGCACCCUUCCCCUCUCUCAAUCUGGUUCAUUGUGAACCAGAAGCAGCCAUGGAGGCCACCAGCGCCGCCGCACUAGAGCUAGCCCUUGCAACAUCCAGCCCACGCUGCCACAAGGCCGGCGACGCACAGGGAUAUCUCUGACAGCCUUGCAAACACGUCCAACCACCAUGUGCGAUCCAGAGCAACAGAUCACAGCCCGAUCUCCUCCAUUUUUCUGCUGUCGGAAGCCACCAUACCAGUAAUGAGGAGUGCCGGUCACCAGAUGGAGAGCCAUCAGCGCAUCUCCGGCGAGACAGCAGCUCGUCAUUUGUGAUGGCGUUGCAAGAAGGUGAGCUGGUGCGUCCAAGAUCCUUGCACGAUCUUAUCGUGUAACACCAUCCAUCUUCAAAUGUCGUUCAGUCAAGCAAAACGACACUGGUCUAGAGAUCCUCAACUAUUUGAGGUUAACAUCACUAUCCGCAAGCACGCGAAGAACAAGUAGUGGCGGCCAUCAAUGUUCCUCAAGCUCCGAUAUACCCAUAUGAUGGUUUACAUAUUUCGGUGACCCAAUACAUCAUUUCUUUUCAAAGAAAAAAAAUUUCAAGAAAAGAAAAGAACAGAAAAGUGGGAAAAAAACAGCGUAAGUUUCAGUUCUUUGAAAUUUAGUUUUUCAGAUCUAAAAUCUUCAGAAACAAAACUCAAAAUUAAUGUCUCAAAGCUUUCCAAAACCAUUCUGGAAUCAACAUGGACCAAAAAAAAAAUUCCAGAGGAACAAAAUAUACCAACACAUGAAUUAAUUCUCAAAUUAACACCAACAACAACAAACCAUUCUACAAUUAAUUAAAAUGGCUCCGAUACUACUGUUAGAAAGCAUUAAUUUUUAAUUAAACAAGAUUAACUUUAAUUAAGUAUGAAAUGGUGAUAAUUAAAAUUUUAUUUUUUAGCAAAUUACCUCAAACAACUUUGAGGAAUUUUCUGACCAUUGGAUUGAGUUGUAGCAAAUCACCAACCGUCUAGAUGUCCGGCCUCUGAUGAUAUACACACAGACCGAUUGUGAGAAAAUUCUCCAAGACACUCUUAGAGAAUAUUGGGAGUUCUGAGUGCUAGCUCUUUUC